RNAcentral lists this ribosomal RNA (447 nucleotides) under uncultured bacterium. RNAcentral's name for it is "bacterial SSU rRNA". It matches the Rfam family "Bacterial small subunit ribosomal RNA", at positions 28 to 504 of the family's 1533-position model. The record is from RNAcentral.
GAUGAACGCUGGCGGCGUGCCUAACACAUGCAAGUCGAGCGAACCCUUCGGGGUGAGCGGCGGACGGGUGAGUAACGCGUGGGUAACCUGCCCUGUACACACGGAUAACAUACCGAAAGGUAUGCUAAUACGAGAUAAAAUGUAAUGAUCGCAUGGUCGAUACAUCAAAGCUCCGGCGGUACAGGAUGGACCCGCGUCUGAUUAGCUAGUUGGUGAGGUAAUGGCUCACCAAGGCGACGAUCAGUAGCCGACCUGAGAGGGUGAUCAGCCACAUUGGAACUGAGACACGGUCCAAACUCCUACGGGAGGCAGCAGUGGGGAAUAUUGCACAAUGGGCGAAAGCCUGAUGCAGCAACGCCGCGUGAGCGAUGAAGGCCUUCGGGUCGUAAAGCUCUGUCCUCAAGGAAGAUAAUGACGGUACUUGAGGAGGAAGCCCCGGCUAACUAC